RNAcentral lists this ribosomal RNA (418 nucleotides) under uncultured Oscillibacter sp. RNAcentral describes it as "bacterial SSU rRNA". It matches the Rfam family "Bacterial small subunit ribosomal RNA", at positions 355 to 769 of the family's 1533-position model. The record is from RNAcentral. Lineage: Bacteria; Bacillati; Bacillota; Clostridia; Eubacteriales; Oscillospiraceae.
UGAGGAAUAUUGGUCAAUGGGCGCAGGCCUGAACCAGCCAAGUCGCGUGAGGGAAGACGGUCCUACGGAUUGUAAACCUCUUUUGUCGGGGAGUAACGUGCGGGACGGGUCCCGUAUUGAGAGUACCCGAAGAAUAAGCCACGGCUAACUACGUGCCAGCAGCCGCGGUAAUACGUAGGUGGCAAGCGUUGUCCGGAUUUACUGGGUGUAAAGGGCGUGUAGCCGGGAGGGCAAGUCAGAUGUGAAAUCCACGGGCUUAACUCGUGAACUGCAUUUGAAACUGUUCUUCUUGAGUAUCGGAGAGGCAAUCGGAAUUCCUAGUGUAGCGGUGAAAUGCGUAGAUAUUAGGAGGAACACCAGUGGCGAAGGCGGAUUGCUGGACGACAACUGACGGUGAGGCGCGAAAGCGUGGGGGAGC